Molecule: ribosomal RNA, 255 nt
Filed under: uncultured bacterium
Lineage: Bacteria
Description: partial 16S ribosomal RNA
Rfam family: Bacterial small subunit ribosomal RNA
Source: RNAcentral
UACGUAGGGGGCAAGCGUUGUCCGGAUUUAUUGGGCGUAAAGAGCGUGUAGGCGGCCAGACAGGUCCGUUGUGAAAACUAGAGGCUUAACCUCUAGACGUCGAUGGAAACCGUCUGGCUAGAGUCCGGAAGAGGAGAAUGGAAUUCCUGGUGUAGCGGUGGAAAUGCGCAGAUAUCAGGAAGAACACCCGUGGCUAAGGCGGUUCUCUAGUACGGUACUGGACGCUGAGACGCGAAAGCGUGGGGAGCGAACAGG